Long non-coding RNA from Dromaius novaehollandiae (emu), 607 nucleotides. RefSeq lists it as uncharacterized. The record is from RefSeq and is a predicted model, not a curated record. The transcript is spliced from 4 exons. Lineage: Eukaryota; Metazoa; Chordata; Aves; Casuariiformes; Dromaiidae.
CAUUGGCUUGUACACAUUCUUUCUUUUCUUUGUAUUUGUUUUUUCAGUGUCCCAGAAAAUUCUUCAUCCUCUUCCUCCUAUGGAAAGCAAAGACGCAUACCGGCCAAGGAAUAUGACCAUUGAGGUGGAUUUGAUGCAAUACACCCUAGUAACUCAUUCUGGAUACCACUGUGAAUGUUUACCUCAUGUUGGUAACUCCUCGCUUAGUGGAGAGGUUUGAUUUCUUCAUGAGAUGGCAGAAUGAUACAGCUAUUUGAGCUUACUAUAAACAGAAACACAACUCUUCAAAAUAGCCAACAUAUUUCUACAGAACUUUGUAUCACUGAUAUUAAUCCAGGUCCAUUUGCAUUGGUGCCUGAAAUAUAAAUGCAACAUACUGUAAAAUGCACAGGACUCCUGGCUAUGUUCCAAGACUCCACAAGAUUUUUUUUUUUCUGGUGCUCACCAAUUAUUAUUCAUGUUGUAAAGAUGGCAUUAAAAUGUCUGAAGGAAUGGUCGGGAUGAAAUCUCAAUCUUGUAGUAAUUAAAACUACUUGAUACAAUUUUUUUCCCAAUUAUAGUAGAGCUAAAAAGUACAUAUAUUUCUACUUGUAUUUCUUACCAUAUU